CACAUGCCGCACAACAUGGACGGCCUCACCGGCUCCAAAUCCAACUCCCUCCCCCGUCUCCGACGACGCCCACCCUGCCCAAUCCUCAAGUUCAGGGGAGGGUUAGAUUGGAAAACACGGAAUUUAAAUUAAUCAAUAUUUUAUUAAUAAAUUCGAAAAGAAAAAUAUUUCUAAGGUGAAACCAAAAUCCACAGCACACUAUGCUAUGCUAUGCUCUCUAAUCC
Molecule: long non-coding RNA, 224 nt
Filed under: Glycine max (soybean)
Lineage: Eukaryota; Viridiplantae; Streptophyta; Magnoliopsida; Fabales; Fabaceae
Description: long non-coding RNA (GMAX_LNC001059)
Source: RNAcentral